Molecule: ribosomal RNA, 500 nt
Filed under: uncultured bacterium
Lineage: Bacteria
Description: partial 16S ribosomal RNA
Rfam family: Bacterial small subunit ribosomal RNA
Source: RNAcentral
AUUGAACGCUGGCGGCAUGCCUUACACAUGCAAGUCGAACGGCAGCACGGGAGCAAUCCUGGUGGCGAGUGGCGAACGGGUGAGUAAAGUAUCGGAACGUGCCCAGUCGUGGGGGAUAACGUAGCGAAAGUUACGCUAAUACCGCAUACGAUCUAUGGAUGAAAGCGGGGGAUCGCAAGACCUCGCGCGAUUGGAGCGGCCGAUAUCAGAUUAGGUAGUUGGUGGGGUAAAGGCCCACCAAGCCGACGAUCUGUAGCUGGUCUGAGAGGACGACCAGCCACACUGGAACUGAGACACGGUCCAGACUCCUACGGGAGGCAGCAGUGGGGAAUUUUGGACAAUGGGCGCAAGCCUGAUCCAGCAAUGCCGCGUGCAGGAUGAAGGCCUUCGGGUUGUAAACUGCUUUUGUACGGAACGAAACGGCGAGCUCUAAUACAGUUUGCUAAUGACGGUACCGUAAGAAUAAGCACCGGCUAACUACGUGCCAGCAGCCGCCGUAA